This 482-nucleotide long non-coding RNA is filed under the name Homo sapiens (human). Its description in RNAcentral is "non-protein coding FAM224B:2". The record is from RNAcentral. Lineage: Eukaryota; Metazoa; Chordata; Mammalia; Primates; Hominidae.
GAGAGUGGGGAACUGCGGGCAGGUCGGCGGAGUUAGAUGGCAGCAAAGGUGGGCCGGCUUGGUGUGAUAAAGUUCCAACUGGGUCCUUCCGCGAGCCCUGGGUCCAUAAGAUGUCAUCGGCGAGCGCUGGACUUGACCGUCAACUUGGGAUUGUUAAGGUAAAUGGUGUCUCCUUCUGUCGCCAAGGCGGUGGCAUGGUCUCGGCUGGCUGCAAUCUCCACCUCCUUGCUUCCAGCGAUUCUCCUGCCUCAGCCCCCCGAGUAGCAGAAAUUACAGGAGUUUCAUGGCAGGGCGCUUGGCUGGCUUGUUUAAAUUCAUUCUGAAUAAGAACUGAGGAUGUCAGCUUCUGGCCUCAUGGACUCUGGACUGAAGAGUCCCCUUGUCUAUCUAUCAUGAGACUGUACACGUAAGAAGCAAAAAACUAGUAACAUUUAAAAUAAAUAAUUUUGUUGUACAGAAAUACACGGAUGCACCUAAAACAC